Molecule: long non-coding RNA, 1210 nt
Organism: Mercenaria mercenaria
Lineage: Eukaryota; Metazoa; Mollusca; Bivalvia; Venerida; Veneridae
Exons: 3
Source: RefSeq, a predicted model, not a curated record
ACAUCAGUACUCUCAUUGCUUUGAUUUUUGUUUAGGUUAUUCAGCAUCGCUUUGAUAAAUCCGUGGAUUUCUACAGGAACUUUUCUGAGUAUGAAAAUGGAUUUGGUGAUCUAACAUCAGAAUUUUGGCUAGGUUUGAAAUAUAUACAAGAGAUAGCAAGUCAAAGUACUACACACUUACGUGUUGAUGUUGAAGCUGACAAUGGAACGGCUGCCUUCGAAACAUUUAACAUGUUUAAACUCUCACCAAGACCGGCCUACACAUUGUAUCUUGGGGAUACCAUAUCUUCCGAUAAAAUUAGCGAGAUAAACUGCGUCGGAAGACGGGCCAAUGGUACAGGAUUUUCAACGUUUGACCAUGAUGUAGAUACAACUUCCGGGAACUGCGCUGCUCAAUAUAAGGUUGGUUGGUGGUAUUACAGCUGUUUUGACGUCGACUUAAAUGGACGAAAUAUAUACCAUCUGGGAUUUAUAAAUGUCCAAUUGAAAUCAAGUAAAAUGAUGAUAAGGAGAAACUAAUUUAUCUAGUUGUAACCUAUUCGAUCACAUUUGGAUUGAAGAUUUCGAAAUUUAAUGUACAGAAUAUGUAGACAAAAAUUUUAUAUAUGACAUCAACACAAGACAAACCUGUAAAAAUAUUUCUCAAAACGUUGUUUACUUCUUUUAUAUGAAUCCUAUGAAUACACAUGUGCAUGUUUAUAUUAUAGAUAGAUUUAAGUAUACGUUUAAGUGUGAACCUGUCGCUUUAACCCAAUUACUGGAAAUUAAUGUAGAAGAUAAGUAUUAGUGUGUCAGUUGUUUCAUUACGAAUAUACACAUUAUUAGUAAUUAUCUGAUUUAAAUUUUACAUUAGUAAGACCGAUAAUCGUUGAAAGCCUUUUUUUGUAAGAACAAUUAAGCGUUGUUGUUGUUGUACAAAAAAGGGUUGAUACAAUUUAUUAUAGGUUGUCAUUAUAUUGCUGUUUACGUGCAUAAAAUGAUAUUUUAUGACGCAAGUUCUCUGUAAAAUUUCAUUUAUUUGUUAUUUUAGGUUCGUUUACCUAAUAAUAUAGGUUCUCUGUAUGUACUCAACACUUUUAGGGUAUUUAAAUGUGAAUAUUAUAUUUACUAUCAUAAUAACCAUUCUCAACUACCAUUUCUUCACUUAUCUAAUACCAAAAUAUAUAUCUUUUCAUAAAUGUCAAUAAAACAUUUUAUCAAUGUUAUUUAAA